GACCCCAUGCCGAACUCAGAAGUGAAACGCCGUAGCGCCGAUGGUAGUGUGGGGUCUCCCCAUGCGAGAGUAGGGAACUGCCAGGC
Molecule: ribosomal RNA, 86 nt
Filed under: Citrobacter freundii
Lineage: Bacteria; Pseudomonadati; Pseudomonadota; Gammaproteobacteria; Enterobacterales; Enterobacteriaceae
Also listed under: 79 other names
Source: RNAcentral